GAUGAGCCAAGAUUGGUACCCUUUAAAGGUACUAUUGAUUUUAAACUGAAGAGUUUGAUCAUGGCUCAGAUUGAACGCUGGCGGCAGGCUUAACACAUGCAAGUCGAGCGGGGAAGGGUAGCUUGCUACCCAACCUAGCGGCGGACGGGUGAGUAAUG
This 158-nucleotide ribosomal RNA is filed under the name Acinetobacter sp. ANC 4177. Its description in RNAcentral is "partial 16S ribosomal RNA". The stretch from base 43 to 158 matches the Rfam family "Bacterial small subunit ribosomal RNA", at positions 1 to 115 of the family's 1533-position model. The record is from RNAcentral. Lineage: Bacteria; Pseudomonadati; Pseudomonadota; Gammaproteobacteria; Moraxellales; Moraxellaceae.